UAGCUCUAUGACUCGACUGAAAAGGCUCUAACUCGCGACGCCCUUGCCACGAUCAAGAUCAGCAACAGCAGCAGCCGACGGCGACGGCUCUGCAAAACAGUGGUAACAACUGGGCGUGAGAACUACUACAAAAAGGAGUAGUCCUCAGUGGGUACCGCCCUCAAACUCAUCGGUCCACCCACUAAGUCUACAGGGAUGAGCAGAAAUAGUAAAGAAAGCUGGAACAAAUCUAUAACUAUAUGCCACUAUACUAUCAUGCUCUAAAUCUAACCAUCUGUAGAACAGUGUCAACUCAAACCCAAUCUCAAAUAAGAACUGUAAUCAUACCCGUCCCUGGGAUUGUGAACACACCCGUCCCGCCU
This 362-nucleotide long non-coding RNA is filed under the name Ananas comosus (pineapple). RNAcentral's name for it is "long non-coding RNA (ACOM_LNC030489)". Lineage: Eukaryota; Viridiplantae; Streptophyta; Magnoliopsida; Poales; Bromeliaceae. The record is from RNAcentral.